Molecule: ribosomal RNA, 497 nt
Filed under: uncultured bacterium
Lineage: Bacteria
Description: partial 16S ribosomal RNA
Rfam family: Bacterial small subunit ribosomal RNA
Source: RNAcentral
GAUGAACGCUGGCGGCGUGCCUAAUACAUGCAAGUCGAGCGAACGGACGAGAAGCUUGCUUUUCUGAUGUUAGCGGCGGACGGGUGAGUAACACGUGGAUAACCUACCUAUCAGACUGGGAUAACUUCGGGAAACCGGAGCUAAUACCGGAUAAUAUUUUGAACCGCAUGGUUCAAAAGUGAAAGACGGUCUUGCUGUCACUUAUCGAUGGAUCCGCGCUGCAUUAGCUAGUUGGUAAGGUAACGGCUUACCAAGGCAACGAUGCAUGGCCGACCUGAGAGGGUGAUCGGCCACACUGGAACUGAGACACGGUCCAGACUCCUACGGGAGGCAGCAGUAGGGAAUCUUCCGCAAUAGGCGAAAGCCUGACGGAGCAACGCCGCGUGAGUGAUGAAGGUCUUCGGUUCGUAAAACUCUGUUAUUAGGGAAGAACAGAUGUGUAAGUAACUGUGCACAUCUUGACGGUACCUAAUCAGAAAGCCACGGCUAACUACGUG